UCAAACAUCGGAAUUUCAAUCAGAGUCCCUUACAGUACGACUAAAACGCAUGAACGCCCCUCCACGUGCGAUCUCACGCGAAACGGUACAUAAAAUAUCGCGACUUUUGCGAAAAUACCGUUUUGCCAACACCGACCUCUCCUCGAUCAACGUGCGAUCUCCGUAGAUCCGUCCGUCAGAUUUGCGAACGGAUUGUACCAGUGCGAUUACCACCUCGGAGACAACAAAGCUACGAUUUUGGUUCACCUCGAUCGACCACGGAUUCGCGACGAAAUCCAACCUUUCAUUCCAACAGAAUGAAUAACACAAAAAUACAUAUAAAACAUGUAUUUUUGGAUUUUCUCAAAAUCCGUGCGUCAAACUCAAAAUCCGUCAGCGCCAUUAGUUCCAGAACAGCUGAACCGAUCGAAACGAGCUAUUGGACCGCUAGGAACGGAGUCCGAUACGAGCCUGAAGCCAACUUCACACCGUGGCUUCUCCGGAAAAUCGAGUUACUAUUCACUUUAAGUGAAACUUGGAAAUCGCGUAAAAUCUCCAUUUUAACUCGAUUUCUCCCGAAACUUGACGAGUGCUUUUGUAAUUAAAUUACACACAAAAACAUCGUCAACUGAGAGUUUAGCUACACUGCAAAAAUCUCAGUCCUUACAUUC
RNAcentral lists this long non-coding RNA (650 nucleotides) under Ananas comosus (pineapple). RNAcentral's name for it is "long non-coding RNA (ACOM_LNC039562)". The record is from RNAcentral. Lineage: Eukaryota; Viridiplantae; Streptophyta; Magnoliopsida; Poales; Bromeliaceae.